UUAAUUGAAACCAAAAUAGAGGUAAAUCACUGUUAAUGAUUAAACUGAGUUUAUACUCCAAUUAAA
Molecule: transfer RNA, 66 nt
Filed under: Dastarcus helophoroides
Lineage: Eukaryota; Metazoa; Arthropoda; Insecta; Coleoptera; Bothrideridae
Description: tRNA-Asn
Source: RNAcentral